GGAGUAGUGGGGAAUUUCUCCAUCAAGUUCUCUCAGACCCAUGGCUGUUGGUGGGAGGCCUCAGCUCCCGUCACUGUGAUUCUCCACAUAGCAGCUCAAGUGACCUCACAACACAGCGCUGGUCUCCCCCAGAGCAAAUGACCCAAGGGGCCAGAAUUAUGCAGGAUGAGACAAAGCUAGAGAAAUUGUACUCUUCAAGAGGAAAAGAGAUGGCCCUGCCAGCAGAACCAAGUGAAAUCAACUCUCACCUCAAAUGUUAAACAGUCAAAAGCAUGCGUGGUGUGUUGUGAUGGAGACCUGGACCAGCCACUGCUGACUUGUUUAACUAAACAAAACUUUCCCCUUUGUUCCACUGGCAGCUCAAGUCAGAAC
Molecule: long non-coding RNA, 372 nt
Organism: Bos taurus (domestic cattle)
Lineage: Eukaryota; Metazoa; Chordata; Mammalia; Artiodactyla; Bovidae
Source: Ensembl